This is a long non-coding RNA of Heterocephalus glaber (naked mole-rat), 746 nucleotides long. Lineage: Eukaryota; Metazoa; Chordata; Mammalia; Rodentia; Bathyergidae. The record is from Ensembl.
CUCAGAGUAAACAGGUGGCGCUUACUAGUUAUUUAUGUAUUAGCGGACAAGACACGCCUCCGACCUCGAACAACUACUGCAUCCAAGCCCUCAAUGCUUUCCCAGAAGCCCUCCAUCCGCUCCAGGGACUCUGCUCCAUCCGAACCCCGGAGCGCUCAGGGCUCGGCCCUUUCCCAGUGCAGAGGGUUAACUCAAAGUCGUCCCUAAGAAAGGAUCUGAGAGCAGGGCAGUUUGCUUCGGGAGUGAGCUCAAGGCCUGGACUGGACGUCUGCGUUGAAGGGUAAAGAAGAGGGGCAGGACCUUUUUCCAGCCAAGCGGAAACCACUUUGAUGGAGCCCCAUUGCGUCGCCGCCCAGCCCGGCAACUGUGCCAGAUGAAGACCCCAUGGAGGUUACAGUGAGGACUCGAGAUCGUGACAGUGAGGAGAUGCAAGCCUGACCUGGUUUCCUGGUGGCAUCUGAUACUGAAGAGAGCAUCAUCUAUGGAGCUGUGCCUUACUAAGUCUCACUCUAGACCAGGCCAGCUUCCAGUUUGCAGUCCCCUUCAGCUUUGAAAUGCUGGACAGGCACGAGACACCAUGCCCAGCUUCAUCUGUUACUAGAGUGGGAGAGACCAUGGGAAAGAAGACAGGCAAAAACAGGUUAUAGGUGCCAACAGUAAGUUCUGUAAGCAACAUUAUUUUGCUAUUGGUGUAUCUGGUAAACAUCUGUGACUAGAGAUUGACCAAUAAAGACUUUGGAACUGUC